CUCCGCUUGGUGUAGUUGGUUUAUCACGUUCGACUGUAAUAUUCGUUGUAAUCGAAAGGUCCCUAGUUCGAUUCUGGGAGCGGAGA
Molecule: non-coding RNA, 86 nt
Organism: Phaeosphaeriaceae sp. PMI808
Lineage: Eukaryota; Fungi; Ascomycota; Dothideomycetes; Pleosporales; Phaeosphaeriaceae
Source: the annotation of a GenBank genome assembly